GACGAACGCUGGCGGCGUGCUUAACACAUGCAAGUCGAACGGUGAAGGGACUGGUUUUGCUGGUCCUGGAUGAGUGGCGAACGGGUGAGUAACACGUGAGUAACCUGCCCCCUUCUUCUGGAUAACCGCAUGAAAGUGUGGCUAAUACGGGAUAUUCUGGGUCUGUCGCAUGGUGGGCCUGGGAAAGAUUGCGCCUUUUUUGGUGUUUUUUGUGGGGGAUGGGCUCGCGGCCUAUCAGCUUGUUGGUGGGGUGAUGGCCUACCAAGGCGGUGACGGGUAGCCGGCCUGAGAGGGUGGACGGUCACACUGGGACUGAGACACGGCCGAGACUCCUACGGGAGGCAGCAGUGGGGAAUAUUGCACAAGGGGCGCAAGCCUGAUGCAGCGACGCCGCGUGAGGGAUGGAGGCCUUCGGGUUGUGAACCUCUUUCGCCAGUGAAGCAGGCCUGCCUCUUUUUGUGGGUGGGUUGACGGUAGCUGGAUAAGAAGCGCCGGCUAACUACGUG
Molecule: ribosomal RNA, 506 nt
Filed under: uncultured bacterium
Lineage: Bacteria
Description: partial 16S ribosomal RNA
Rfam family: Bacterial small subunit ribosomal RNA
Source: RNAcentral